CUGGCGGCGUGCCUAACACAUGCAAGUCGAACGGAGUUAAUUGAAGGAGCCCUUCGGGGCAACGGAUUUUUAACUAGUGGCGGACGGGUGAGUAACGCGUGAGUAACCUGCCUUUGAGAGGGGGAUAACGUUCUGAAAAGAACGCUAAUACCGCAUGACAUAUCGAAGCCGCAUGACUUUGAUAUCAAAGAUUUUUAUCGCUCAAAGAUGGACUCGCGUCCGAUUAGUUAGUUGGUGGGGUAACGGCCUACCAAGACGACGAUCGGUAGCCGGACUGAGAGGUUGAACGGCCACAUUGGGACUGAGACACGGCCCAGACUCCUACGGGAGGCAGCAGUGGGGGAUAUUGCGCAAUGGGGGGCCAACCCUGACGCAGCAACGCCGCGUGAAGGAUGAAGGUUUUCGGAUUGUAAACUUCUUUUGUUAGGGACGAAUUCUGACGGUACCUAACGAAUAAGCUCCGGCUAACUACGUGCCAGCCGCCGC
RNAcentral lists this ribosomal RNA (486 nucleotides) under uncultured bacterium. RNAcentral's name for it is "bacterial SSU rRNA". It matches the Rfam family "Bacterial small subunit ribosomal RNA", at positions 36 to 518 of the family's 1533-position model. The record is from RNAcentral.